GUCCUACGGGAGGCAGCAGUGGGGAAUAUUGGGCAAUGGAGGAAACUCUGACCCAGCAACGCCGCGUGAAUGAUGAAGGUCUUCGGAUUGUAAGGUUCUUUUCUAAGGGAAGAAGAAAGUGACGGUACCUUAGGAAUAAGCCACGGCUAACUACGUGCCAGCAGCCGCGGUAAUACGUAGGUGGCAAGCGUUAUCCGGAUUUAUUGGGUGUAAAGGGCGUGUAGGCGGGAUUGCAAGUCAGAUGUGAAAACCACGGGCUCAACCUGUGGCCUGCAUUUGAAACUGUAGUUCUUGAGUGCUGGAGA
RNAcentral lists this ribosomal RNA (305 nucleotides) under uncultured bacterium. RNAcentral's name for it is "bacterial SSU rRNA". It matches the Rfam family "Bacterial small subunit ribosomal RNA", at positions 335 to 655 of the family's 1533-position model. The record is from RNAcentral.